GACGAACGCUGGCGGCGUGCCUAAUACAUGCAAGUAGAACGCUGAAGGAGGAGCUUGCUCUUCUGGAUGAGUUGCGAACGCGUGAGUAACGCGUAGGUAACCUGCCUGGUAGCGGGGGAUAACUAUUGGAAACGAUAGCUAAUACCGCAUAAGAGUAGAUGUUGCAUGACAUUUACUUAAAAGGUGCAAUUGCAUCACUACCAGAUGGACCUGCGUUGUAUUAGCUAGUUGGUGGGGUAACGGCUUACCAAGGCGACGAUACAUAGCCGACCUGAGAGGGGGGUCGGCCACACUGGGACUGAGACACGGCCCAGACUCCUACGGGAGGCAGCAGUAGGGAAUCUUCGGCAAUGGACGGAAGUCUGACCGAGCAACGCCGCGUGAGUGAAGAAGGUUUUCGGAUCGUAAAGCUCGGUUGUAAGAGAAGAACGAGUGUGAGAGUGGAAAGUUCACACUGUGACGGUAUCUUACCAGAAAGGGACGGCUAACUACGUG
Molecule: ribosomal RNA, 495 nt
Filed under: uncultured bacterium
Lineage: Bacteria
Description: partial 16S ribosomal RNA
Rfam family: Bacterial small subunit ribosomal RNA
Source: RNAcentral